This 460-nucleotide ribosomal RNA is filed under the name uncultured bacterium. RNAcentral describes it as "partial 16S ribosomal RNA". It matches the Rfam family "Bacterial small subunit ribosomal RNA", at positions 338 to 795 of the family's 1533-position model. The record is from RNAcentral.
CCUACGGGCGGCAGCAGUGAGGAAUAUUGGUCAAUGGGCGCGAGCCUGAACCAGCCAAGUAGCGUGAAGGAUGACUGCCCUACGGGUUGUAAGCUUCUUUUAUAAAGGAAUAAAGUGAGGCACGGGUGCCUUUUUGUAUGUACUUUAUGAAUAAAGAUAGGCUAAAUACGUGCCAGCCGCCGCGGUAAUACGGAGGAUCCGAGCGUUAUCCGGUUUUAUUGGGUUGAAAGGGAGCGGAGAUGGGUUGGUAAGUUAGUUGUGAAAGUUUGCGGCUUAACCGUAAAAUUGCAAUUGAUACUGGCAGUCUUGAGUACAGUUGAGGUAGGCGGAAUUCGUGGUGUAGCGGUGAAAUGCUUAGAUAUCACGAAGAACUCCGAUUGCGAAGGCAGCUUACUAAACUGCCACUGACAUUGAUGCUCGAAAGUGUGGGUAUCAAACAGGAUUAGAUACCCCUGUAGUC